RNAcentral lists this unclassified non-coding RNA (254 nucleotides) under uncultured Patescibacteria group bacterium. RNAcentral describes it as "contains 16S-23S intergenic spacer region". It matches the Rfam family "Bacterial small subunit ribosomal RNA", at positions 524 to 776 of the family's 1533-position model. The record is from RNAcentral.
UACGUAGGGUGCAAGCGUUAUCCGGAUUCAUUGGGCGUAAAGUGUCGUGUAGGCGGUUUUCCGCAUCGUGUUUGAAAGCCCGAGGCUCAACCUCGGCGUUGGACACGAGAUGGGGAGACUUGAGGGAGGCAGAGGCAAGGGGAACUGACGGUGAAGCAGUGAAAUGCGUUGAUAUCGUCAGGAACACCAAAGGCGAAGGCACCUUGCUGGGCCACCCCUGACGCUGAGACACGAAAGCUAGGGGAGCGAAGCAG